AGGCACUCCCAGAGCAGAAACCCUUCGGAGCAUCCCGACUUCCUCGGCCCGCGUGCAAUCCAGGCAAAAUUGAGGUUGUCUCUGAGCCGCCCUCCCUAAGCAGGUCGGAAAGCCCCCGAAUCAUCCCAGGUCCCGCCGCGCUGCACUCGCAACCUGGGGUGGAGGUCCCUCUAGUGGUUGGCACCAAACAAAAGUUCUGUCUUAUGAAGAGCCGAGGUCAGGAAGCAUUUCCCUGUGCCCAGCGCCAAGGUCUGGGACCUUAGGUCCAAGAAAAGCGUUGGCAAUGUCUGACCACAGGAAUGGGUUCUCGAACUGGGGAGGACUGAAGCUGGAGAUCUGGUCCAGCCCCUACCUCCAGCGUGUGGCCUGAACCCGUUUUGGUUGUACUGCUAUGUUGUGGCCCUGCCCAGGCCUCCAAGGACUGGCUGCUGUUAAGCUGUUUAAAAUCCCUGUAGGCCUCAGAUGGCAGCGACACCAGGGACUCGGCAUAGUCCCCAGCUCUGGCAGGAGUCACCACAGCCCUAGCCUUUAGUUCUCUACAGGCUGGAGUGUCGACAAACUCCACAGGACACAACUUUUUCAAACCAAAUUUACCCUCGCGGUCUGAAAUGACCAGUAGGCCCAGGAGAAUUUUACAUGUGAACAGAACCUAACCCACCCUGGCAAAUAUGAGACGUGUGGUCACUGCGGGAACCUGGCCAGCAGCAGACCAAAGCACAGCCAGCAGGGGAAGGCUGGGGCCCGCAAGAGUUGUGUUACAACAGGACACCCUUCAGUUCUCUUUCACUUCCUUAAAAUAGCAGCAGAGCGACUUUUGUAGACGCAGGCUGCCACAGUUCACACAAGGUCAUGGCUGUUUCCGAAUCCCACCCUUUAUUGCCCUAGCGGAGCCACUCCCCUUACCUCCGCCCCCAGAAACUGCUAGCCUGUUCUUAAAUUGAUACAGUUACCUUUUUAAAUGUUCUAAGUCACCGGCUCUGGAGCUUCUUUGCACUUUGGAACCAACUUGCGGGAAGGAACUUUAAAAAUACUGAUAUCUCGAUCCAUCCCCAGAGGUUCUGAUUUAAUGGUCUUGGGGAUAUGGCCACGGCAUGAGGACUGUUAAAACUCCGCAGGUGAUUCUUAUGUGCAACAAAGUUUAAGAACCACUGAUGUAGGCCAUGUCGAUGUCAGUCUUCACUUAAAUCCAACAAGACCCCAGAGCUAAAACGUUCACCUGAAAGAAACCCCAUUCCCAGGCCUGCAUACUGACCUGCGCUGGCUCACAAGAAGCAAAGUGGUCCCUUAACAGGGGCUUCCUGGAGAAAAUGUCUUGACCUAAAAGAGUGAUUCGAGCUGCAGGGAUUUAAGGACCGAGCUGAAGAAGCCCCCGUCUUCCAGCGCAUGUUAUUCCCAUGACAGAUGCUAAAAGUUCAAGGGGGCUGGCCUCCAUGUAAUAAAGAGGGAGUCAUCUGAAAUGAGUUUCUUGCAAUAAUGGCUGCUCUAAUUCCCACAAGAGGCAACCAAGCAUGGGUGAGGGAGCAGUUUUGUGUCUGGCAGCCAUGGGUCUUCAGCCCACAAACUAAGGAGAUGGGACAAGGUCUACUGCUCAGCAUGGGCUGUCACACUCAUGGGCAGCUGAGCCAACCCACGUGCUCCUUGGGUUGGAAGACUGUCAUGCUUCACGCAGGCAUCUGCUGGAAAGAGUGUUCAGGUCACUGAAGCUGCCUUCCUGAUAUUUCAGAGGUAUGUGGGAAAAUUCUUAGUCACAAAUAAUAUUAGAAGUCAGAAUAUUUUUUUUAAUAAUUGUGUCCAGACCACGUGGGAGGUUUCCAAUUAAAGAGAGACUUUGCAUUUUAGUCUAAUGACUGGUUUAACAUGUAUAAUUC
Homo sapiens (human) is the source of this 1868-nucleotide long non-coding RNA. Ensembl annotates it as SYT9 antisense RNA 1. Its record names the gene SYT9-AS1. The record is from Ensembl. Lineage: Eukaryota; Metazoa; Chordata; Mammalia; Primates; Hominidae.